UUGAACGCUGGCGGCAGGCCUAACACAUGCAAGUCGAGCGGAUGAAGGGAGCUUGCUCCUGGAUUCAGCGGCGGACGGGUGAGUAAUGCCUAGGAAUCUGCCUGGUAGUGGGGGAUAACGUCCGGAAACGGGCGCUAAUACCGCAUACGUCCUGAGGGAGAAAGUGGGGGAUCUUCGGACCUCACGCUAUCAGAUGAGCCUAGGUCGGAUUAGCUAGUUGGUGGGGUAAAGGCCUACCAAGGCGACGAUCCGUAACUGGUCUGAGAGGAUGAUCAGUCACACUGGAACUGAGACACGGUCCAGACUCCUACGGGAGGCAGCAGUGGGGAAUAUUGGACAAUGGGCGAAAGCCUGAUCCAGCCAUGCCGCGUGUGUGAAGAAGGUCUUCGGAUUGUAAAGCACUUUAAGUUGGGAGGAAGGGCAGUAAGUUAAUACCUUGCUGUUUUGACGUUACCAACAGAAUAAGCACCGGCUAACUACGUG
Molecule: ribosomal RNA, 483 nt
Filed under: uncultured bacterium
Lineage: Bacteria
Description: partial 16S ribosomal RNA
Rfam family: Bacterial small subunit ribosomal RNA
Source: RNAcentral